GAAAUAUAUAUGUUUUACCAAAAGAAACAUAACCAUGAAAAACAUUUAAACCAUGCUGCUUCCAAAAUUAGAGAGAACAUGAAUUAAAGCAAUAUAAAAUUUAAGCUUUGUCGCAAAAUAAAUGAAUGUGACACACAAAAUUGGUGUGCAAGAAUAACUGAAAAGUAAUUGAAUUAAAAUGCACGAAGAAAUGAAACUCAGUUUAGAGAUUAUGAAAAUUAGAUAACCAAGACAUAAGAAAUUAGAGUUCAUGAAAUUCUGCCUUAAGAAAUAUAUAUG
RNAcentral lists this unclassified non-coding RNA (279 nucleotides) under Hevea brasiliensis (rubber tree). The record is from RNAcentral. Lineage: Eukaryota; Viridiplantae; Streptophyta; Magnoliopsida; Malpighiales; Euphorbiaceae.